Dendronephthya gigantea is the source of this 70-nucleotide small nucleolar RNA. RefSeq annotates it as small nucleolar RNA SNORD61. The record is from RefSeq and is a predicted model, not a curated record. The transcript has a single exon. Lineage: Eukaryota; Metazoa; Cnidaria; Anthozoa; Malacalcyonacea; Nephtheidae.
UCAAUGAUGAAUUAAUAUUUAGUGAAAUUUGCUAUUUAUGAUCAAAUAUCCUCUAAGAAGUUCUGAGAAG